Molecule: ribosomal RNA, 468 nt
Filed under: uncultured bacterium
Lineage: Bacteria
Description: partial 16S ribosomal RNA
Rfam family: Bacterial small subunit ribosomal RNA
Source: RNAcentral
GACGAACGCUGGCGGCGUGCUUAACACAUGCAAGUCGAACGGAAAGGCCCUGCUUUUGUGGGGUGCUCGAGUGGCGAACGGGUGAGUAACACGUGAGUAACCUGCCCUUGACUUUGGGAUAACUUCAGGAAACUGGGGCUAAUACCGGAUAGGAGCUCCUGCUGCAUGGGGGGGGUUGGAAAGUUUCGGCGGUUGGAGAUGGACUCGCGGCUUAUCAGCUUGUUGGUGGGGUAGUGGCUUACCAAGGCUUUGACGGGUAGCCGGCCUGAGUGGGUGACCGGCCACAUUGGGACUGAGAUACGGCCCAGACUCCUACGGGAGGCAGCAGUGGGGAAUAUUGCACAAUGGGCGGAAGCCUGAUGCAGCAACGCCGCGUGCGGGAUGACGGCCUUCGGGUUGUAAACCGCUUUCGCCUGUGACGAAGCGUGAGUGACGGUAAUGGGUAAAGAAGCACCGGCUAACUACGUG